UUCAUAGUGAUGCGGACAGGUGUGAAGAAGCUGGCUUCUUCACUUAAAAGGGAAGUUCGGUGAAAUGCCGACGCGGUCCCGCCACUGUAUAUGCGAGCAACCUGCUUGAAGCCACUGUUAUGAGAUGGGAAGGCGCAGGAAGCGAUGACCAUAAGCCAGGAGACCUGCCUGAACCGUAAAUUACCG
Molecule: non-coding RNA, 186 nt
Filed under: Marininema halotolerans
Lineage: Bacteria; Bacillati; Bacillota; Bacilli; Caryophanales; Thermoactinomycetaceae
Source: RNAcentral